UCGGGAAUCUUGCACAAUGGGGGAAACCCUGAUGCAGCGACGCCGCGUGGAGGAUGAAGGAUCUAGGUCUGUAAACUCCUUUUAUCGGGAAAGACUUAGGACGGUACCCGAUGAAUAAGCACCGGCUAACUACGUGCCAGCAGCCGCGGUAAGACGUAGGGUGCGAGCGUUGUCCGGAUUUACUGGGCGUAAAGGACGCGUAGGCGGCCUGUUAAGUGUGAAGUGAAAUCUCCAGGGCUCAACCCGGAAACUGCUCCGCAUACUGGCAGGCUGGAGGAAUGCAGAGGUGAGUGGAAUUCCUGGUGUAGCGGUGAAAUGCGUUGAUAUCAGGAGGAACACCCAUGGCGAAGGCAGCUCACUGGGCAUUUCCUGACGCUGAGGCGUGAAAGCGUGGGUAGCAAACAG
This 405-nucleotide ribosomal RNA is filed under the name uncultured bacterium. RNAcentral describes it as "bacterial SSU rRNA". It matches the Rfam family "Bacterial small subunit ribosomal RNA", at positions 355 to 775 of the family's 1533-position model. The record is from RNAcentral.